GUGUUGUCUUCUUGCCUGCUUAGGGGGCCUGGCGGCGGUGAUUUACACGGACACCUUGCAGACGGUGAUCAUGCUGGUGGGGUCUUUAAUCCUGACUGGGUUUGCUUUUCACGAAGUGGGAGGCUAUGACGCCUUCAUGGAAAAGUACAUGAAAGCCAUUCCAACCAUAGUGUCUGAUGGCAACACCACCUUUCAGGAAAAAUGCUACACUCCAAGGGCCGACUCCUUCCACAUCUUCCGAGAUCCCCUCACAGGAGACCUCCCAUGGCCUGGGUUCAUCUUUGGGAUGUCCAUCCUUACCUUGUGGUACUGGUGCACAGAUCAGGUCAUUGUGCAGCGCUGCCUCUCAGCCAAGAAUAUGUCUCACGUGAAGGCUGGCUGCAUCCUGUGUGGAUAUCUAAAGCUGAUGCCCAUGUUCAUCAUGGUGAUGCCAGGAAUGAUCAGCCGCAUUCUGUACACAGACAAAAUUGCCUGUGUCGUCCCUUCAGAAUGUGAGAAAUAUUGCGGUACCAAGGUUGGCUGUACCAACAUCGCCUAUCCAACCUUAGUGGUGGAGCUCAUGCCCAAU
RNAcentral lists this small RNA (568 nucleotides) under Pan troglodytes (chimpanzee). RNAcentral's name for it is "retained intron". The record is from RNAcentral. Lineage: Eukaryota; Metazoa; Chordata; Mammalia; Primates; Hominidae.